This 652-nucleotide ribosomal RNA is filed under the name Acinetobacter sp. enrichment culture clone 218. RNAcentral's name for it is "bacterial SSU rRNA". It matches the Rfam family "Bacterial small subunit ribosomal RNA", at positions 423 to 1066 of the family's 1533-position model. Lineage: Bacteria; Pseudomonadati; Pseudomonadota; Gammaproteobacteria; Moraxellales; Moraxellaceae. The record is from RNAcentral.
UUGUAAAGCACUUUAAGCGAGGAGGAGGCUCUUAAGGUUAAUACCCUUGAUGAGUGGACGUUACUCGCAGAAUAAGCACCGGCUAACUCUGUGCCAGCAGCCGCGGUAAUACAGAGGGUGCGAGCGUUAAUCGGAUUUACUGGGCGUAAAGCGUGCGUAGGCGGCUGAUUAAGUCGGAUGUGAAAUCCCUGAGCUUAACUUAGGAAUUGCAUUCGAUACUGGUCAGCUAGAGUAUGGGAGAGGAUGGUAGAAUUCCAGGUGUAGCGGUGAAAUGCGUAGAGAUCUGGAGGAAUACCGAUGGCGAAGGCAGCCAUCUGGCCUAAUACUGACGCUGAGGUACGAAAGCAUGGGGAGCAAACAGGAUUAGAUACCCUGGUAGUCCAUGCCGUAAACGAUGUCUACUAGCCGUUGGGGCCUUUGAGGCUUUAGUGGCGCAGCUAACGCGAUAAGUAGACCGCCUGGGGAGUACGGUCGCAAGACUAAAACUCAAAUGAAUUGACGGGGGCCCGCACAAGCGGUGGAGCAUGUGGUUUAAUUCGAUGCAACGCGAAGAACCUUACCUGGUCUUGACAUAGUAAGAACUUUCCAGAGAUGGAUUGGUGCCUUCGGGAACUUACAUACAGGUGCUGCAUGGCUGUCGUCAGCUCGUGUC